UCUCUUCAAGCCGUCGAAAGCUCCCAUUUUUCGAUGUCAUCCUCAGCUUCUUCAUGGAUUUCGACGAACAACCCAAUGUGCACUUGUGGGAAGCUCGCAAAACUUAGAACAUCGAAUACGCCAAAAAAUCCGGGCCGAUCAUUUUUUGGAUGUCCAAACUACAAUACAGAGGGAUUACCACACUGCAACUAUUUCAAAUGGGCAAAUUACAGUGAGAAAAGAGAAACAAAACUCUUCAAGAUAGACGAUGAGUUGUUAAGAAAUGAGGAAGAGCUUCGAAGAAGAGAUGAAGAGAUUGUAAAGUAUAAGUUGGGAAUUCACAAUGACCAACUUGAUAUUCAAAGACAACAAGCAGACAUCCGGCGUGAACGCACACUACUUCGUGUCUGUUG
This is a long non-coding RNA of Juglans microcarpa x Juglans regia, 392 nucleotides long. RefSeq lists it as uncharacterized. The transcript has 3 exons. The record is from RefSeq and is a predicted model, not a curated record. Lineage: Eukaryota; Viridiplantae; Streptophyta; Magnoliopsida; Fagales; Juglandaceae.